UUAGGAAAGCGAGCGGCGGAUGGGUGAGUAACACGUGGGGAACCUGCCCCAUAGUCUGGGAUACCACUUGGAAACAGGUGCUAAUACCGGAUAAGAAAGCAGAUCGCAUGAUCAGCUUUUAAAAGGCGGCGUAAGCUGUCGCUAUGGGAUGGCCCCGCGGUGCAUUAGCUAGUUGGUAAGGUAAAGGCUUACCAAGGCGAUGAUGCAUAGCCGAGUUGAGAGACUGAUCGGCCACAUUGGGACUGAGACACGGCCCAAACUCCUACGGGAGGCAGCAGUAGGGAAUCUUCCACAAUGGACGCAAGUCUGAUGGAGCAACGCCGCGUGAGUGAAGAAGGUUUUCGGAUCGUAAAGCUCUGUUGUUGGUGAAGAAGGAUAGAGGUAGUAACUGGCCUUUAUUUGACGGUAAUCAACCAGAAAGUCACGGCUAACUACGUGCCAGCAGCCGCGGUAAUACGUAGGUGGCAAGCGUUGUCCGGAUUUAUCGGGCGUAAAGCGAGCGCAGGCGGAAGAAUAAGUCUGAUGUGAAAGCCCUCGGCUUAACCGAGGAACUGCAUCGGAAACUGUUUUUCUUGAGUGCAGAAGAGGAGAGUGGAACUCCAUGUGUAGCGGUGGAAUGCGUAGAUAUAUGGAAGAACACCAGUGGCGAAGGCGGCUCUCUGGUCUGCAACUGACGCUGAGGCUCGAAAGCAUGGGUUAGCGAACAGGAUUAGAUACCCUGGUAGUCCAUGCCGUAAACGAUGAGUGCUAAGUGUUGGGAAGGUUUUCCGCCUCUCAAUGCU
RNAcentral lists this ribosomal RNA (782 nucleotides) under uncultured bacterium. RNAcentral's name for it is "bacterial SSU rRNA". It matches the Rfam family "Bacterial small subunit ribosomal RNA", at positions 83 to 847 of the family's 1533-position model. The record is from RNAcentral.